This is a long non-coding RNA of Piliocolobus tephrosceles (Ugandan red Colobus), 1283 nucleotides long. RefSeq lists it as uncharacterized. The transcript has 3 exons. The record is from RefSeq and is a predicted model, not a curated record. NCBI's taxonomy places the organism in Eukaryota, Metazoa, Chordata, Mammalia, Primates, Cercopithecidae.
CCCGGAAGAGCACCGACAGCCCUGCUCUGGAAGCGCGUGUCUGCUUAGAUGUCCUGAGCAAUUUAUUGCACCAGGCUCUGGAAGGGAAGUUGCAAAUGAGGAGUUCAGUGGAUUUCUAACCAGGUCCAAUUUCACCGGAGCGGAGUCCCGCGGGGACCAGCAGGUUCUUUCUCGCUCCGGGAGAGGGCGCUCCUGCCCGGUGUUUGUAGCGGCGGCUUCCUGGCCGCUUCCCAGCGUGGAUUUGCACCCUGUGGAUUUCCUGCGGGUGGGCGGUGCAUGACCCUGGUUGGGAUCCUUGUUUACCCCAGCGUCCCGAGGAGCUGGGACUACAAGUGCCCACCACCACGCCCGGCUAAUUUUUUUUGGUAUUUUUUUGGUAGAGAUGGGCUUUCACCGUGUUAGCCAGGAUGGUCUGGAUCUCCUGACCUCGUGAUCCGCUAGCCUUGGCCUCCCAGAGUACUGGGAUUACUAGUUUGCUUUUUCUAAGGAGCUCUUAAUAGCCUAAUUUAUCAUUUCCCCUUUACAGUUUAUGAUUUUUGUUCUCUUUGAGAAAUCUUUUCCUAUUCUAAGAACAAAGCGAUAUUAUGUUUUGUCGUGUUUUGUUUAAGUCGUUGUUAAUUAUCAUUUACAAUUUAAUUGAUCAACCGAUUCAGAAUGAGUUACUCUGUGGGUGGUGAUUUCUAUUUUUUCCAUUAAGUCAACACAUUUUAACGUCUUCUGGAAAUGUUCUAUUCUGCUUUCUGUUGAUUUGCCCUCCCCUGUUCUUGCUUACUCAGGUCAUCACCAUCACACCUUCCGAGCUGAUUAUUCUGUGAAGUCUCCUGGCUAUUCUAUUUCUUCCUCCCUCCUUCAGUCUUUAGCGAUCCUACACUUCCACAAACCAAGUCCCUGGAGUCUUGGAUUUUCUGCCACAUCCAUGAACCUUGGUGCCCUGCAAAAUCUACACCCUUCACAUUUCUUGACAGUAUUGAUUGUGCUGUGGACAGAGCCAAGACAACUGGAUUUCUAUGUUGAAUUUUGUGAAACACUUUUCCUCCAUCUAUUGAGAUGACGUGGUUUUCAUCUUUCAUUCGGUUCAAGUGGUAUAUCACAUUGAUUUGCUCGAAUAUGUUGAACCAUCCUUGCAUCCCAGAAAUAAGUGGCACUUGAAUAUCUACAAUCCUUUUUAUACCCUCUUGAAUAAAAUUUUCUAGUACAAGGGGUCUUCAAGAAGUUCAUGGAAAAAUAUGUAUUAUGAGAAAAUUGAGCAUGAAUUUCAUACUUUUUUUUGCAUGAAAAUAAAC